AGAGUCUGAGAUUGAGGUGCUGAUCAGUGAAGUGGAGACGCGAAAAAAUAUUUUAUUUGGUGGUUUAUCUUCUGGUAUCAGCAACAAACGCAAGGCAACAGAGUGGCACUGUGUCACAAUGGCAGUCAAUGCAGCCGGCUCAGAGACACGUACAAUGGAAGAAAUAAACAAGAAAUGGUCAGACAUAAAAGUAGACUUCAAAAAACGUGUCACUGCAGAGUGUCACUGCCACAGGUGGAGGCACAGGAAAGCCGGAGCUGACGCCACAAGAAGAAAGGGAAACUCUCCUGUGUGGCGUCCUGCCAGCAUUGUGAGGGCGACUCAGACAUGUGUUUUUCUUUCUGAUUUGAUGGAAAAUCUGGGUUUUUGAAGCCAGAGAGACUUCACAAGGAGGAGAGGGGGAUCUUGACUGCGAGGCCAGCGUUUUCACAGCAGCUGACUCCGUGCACCCUGCUGCAUCCAGUUCGCACCCUGCUGCGCCCCUGCUUCCACUGCUGAGGUUCGUCAUUCCACAGCUCCUGUGGCAGAGGGAUGCCACGUUUGUUUGCCAUACUGUGCAGCACACUGCAUGCCUGCACAAUGCGACAUACCUUCCGUGGACAGUACAACAGCAUGCCACCAGUGCGGUCCAAACAGCGGCAACGGCCUUUCAGCUGCCCGAUGGUCCAUUCCCCACCAGCGCAAGCAUGGACAAUAUUGUACCGCUGCUCUUGCUCGGUCAGAGGGUUGGUGAGGGGAUGAGGAGGCAUGUCUACAGAGGGUAACCACUGUCACCUAAGGGUCUAUGUUAACCACAUCCUCAA
Molecule: long non-coding RNA, 803 nt
Organism: Micropterus dolomieu (smallmouth bass)
Lineage: Eukaryota; Metazoa; Chordata; Actinopteri; Centrarchiformes; Centrarchidae
Exons: 3
Source: RefSeq, a predicted model, not a curated record